AAAAGGAGGAAGACGAGCAGCUGCAGCGACGUCCAGAAAGGCAAGAAAGCGCAACGAACAAUUACUUCGACUCUCAGUCUCUCUUGCAGGUUGUGGAAUGAUUUCGAGAGCUUGAAUAAAUAACAAUAGGAGGAUGGCAAUGAUGAGGAAAACAGAGAGAGCACUGCAGAGGAGAGGGGAAAAAAAAGGAGCACCAUCUCUUUCUUUUUUUCUUUCAUAGGAUAUGGGAUAAAUCCAGCAGCAGUAUCACUAGAAAUGCAAUUGAAAAUGAGAAACAAGAUAAUGGUAACCAUACCUUUGGAGAUUGGUUCUCACCUGCUUCAACAGGAUUGUUGGACAAUGAGAGAAGCUCUACAAUCUUGUGAAAUCACACAUGUUUAUAGAGAGGCAUAAGGUGCUGCAGAUUAAAUGGUGACAUGUAUGGCUAAUCAUAUGGGACCUACAUUAUGAACGACAUUGUCAGAUAUUCCUUCUGAAUUUUUCAAUAUUUUAUUUACUGAUUUCUAUGGAAGUUUUUACUCUAGAUUGGUUUAAUAAAUUUACUUGGUCAAUAUCUAUAUUUUGGACAUUAUGGUAUGCCUUGAAAGUUGUUAGUAUGCAUUAAGGUUGACAGUGGGGCUUCUAUCGAAGUUCAACUUUGGAAUACAGAGUUAGGAAUGUUUAUCUGAACUGCUGGUGGUCUUUACUAAGUCACUAUUCCGGUGGUACUCAUUGUCGUAGGGAAAAAAGUCCUAGUAAUUCAACCGUUACCCAGAAAAAAAAAAGUUCUCUCUUAUGUUUCACUCUCAAGCACCAGCUAACUCUACAAGGACUCUGCCAAUAGAGUAGUUACCUCAUAAUUUAAAGCCCGUAAAGAUUCUUUUAGUGGAAAGGCUUUAAAUGAUUCGAACCAUGGGACAGACAUGCUUGAGCAUGUAGGAGCUUUCCACAGAGAGAGAGUUUGCUUAAGAAGAAAAUCUUGAGAAUGAAGUGGCGACAAAGAGAUCAGUUUCCAGAUUCAUUUCAUUUUUCUGGGGUUGCAAUUAAAAUAGGGUUAUGCUGGGGAUAUGUUUGUUUUUGUAAUGCGUUUAAUGAUUCUUAUGAUUGUGCUUCUUUUGUUUGCCCUCUUAUUCUUCCUUUCUUUUACUUUUAAUUCUGAAAUGGGUACUUAGAACAGGUUGGCCCCGGGAUCCUUGCACUUGAGCUUAGUUUUUGUAUGUAGGGGCACUAUUGUACUACUUUGGUUCUUUUUGACUAGCUUCUUGAGUUCUGUAAUCAAAGUUACAGGUUGGUAUUUUGGCUGUUGAGCGCAAGUUAUACUUCAAGAGGAAUAAAACUAUCUGUUGAGUGCAACUUAUACUUCAAGAGAAAUAAAACUAUCUUGGCGUCACCUGGAUAUGAGGAACAAAAGGCGAAAUUGUUGCUGUGUAGAACACAAAUGACGUUGUUGUGUGGGUUCAUCUGGAGUAUUGGCAUGGGACACAUAUGGUGUCUUGGGAGGUAUGUAAUGUGCAUUAGAGUUGUUUUCUUGCAUGUCCAUAGUUCUAGCAGACUUAUACUAGAUUGUGAUGUCAUAUGUAUCAUUCCCAUCAUAGCUAGGUUGCCCUAGUCAAAAAAAUUGGCCUUGCAUAUUGCUAUUAAGCUGGAAUUGUAGUGACUUGGUUCAAAAAAGUUGCCCUUGGAAGAAGAAGGUUUCACUUUAUCGCUAUAUCGCUAUAACUGAUGGUAUGUUCUUUACCAAAACAAAAAGAUGAUGCUUUAUAUGCAACUUCUAGAUAUGGUUCUUACAAUAUGAAAGAUGAUGCCUUUACUGUGGAUGAGAUCUACAUUUUGUAGCUGAUCUUGGCCAUUUAGAGAUAAGUUU
This is a non-coding RNA of Phoenix dactylifera (date palm), 1843 nucleotides long. Lineage: Eukaryota; Viridiplantae; Streptophyta; Magnoliopsida; Arecales; Arecaceae. The record is from RefSeq and is a predicted model, not a curated record.